CGUUUCGAAAUAUUUGGUCCAAGUUAAAAAAAUUAAAUUAAAAAUUCAAUAUUUCACAAUUAUUGGUUGGUACACUUUUUCCGCGUUUUUUGGCAUCAAAUUCUUUGUAAGCAGUCAGAGGAACAUAUUGGUUGUUACACUUUUUCCGUUUUUUGGCAUCAAAUUCUUUGUAAGCAGUCAGAGGAACGCGUAGCACAAAAUUCGUACGUGCUUUCAGUUCAACUGUGAGUUUUGUUGACGGAUUGUUGCUUGAACGAAGUUUGGUAGUGCGGUGCGAACUCAACGUAUUAGUUGAAAUUUACAACAAAUUGGAAGUGGUAUUCAAGUUUUAGUUAAAAUAGUGAAAAACCGCUGCACAUGGGUUCUUGCAUGUGCAAGAACAGUACUGAUGAUGGACCGGGAGUAAAUGAUGCCUAUGGCGUCGGUGAUGACGCUUUUGGAAGAGCUCGUUUAGGUGCGGAGGCGCAGCCUCGCGCAUCGUAUAGCGGUGGCCUUGUUAGAAAAUCUUUGUCAGCCACUGUAGACACACUGGUCAACGAGACGCUUGAAGUAAUUGGUACAAUUACUGAUAGUGAUCCAGAGCCACCUAGUUCUAUUUUAACUCUGCACGCAAUUACUGACAAGCCAACUGGUUGGAUUGAAAUGGUAAAAUCCCUUAUGCGUGUUGUACCAGUUGAACAUCCCAUGGGUCCUAGCGUUAUAGCAUUGUUAUUAGAUGACAGUCCUUUGCCAACACGUGAAUCUGUGUCAAAGGUUGCUGAUAUGAUAAAUUCAAAUUUAAAGCGUAGUCCCCGCAAGGAGCGUAAUUUAUGUGUAAUAUUGGGCUGUUUAGCAGAAAAGCUAGCUGGUCCAAGUAGUGUUGCACUGUUAAAUGAAAAUACACUAAAGUACCUGAUAGCUAAUUUAUCUGAUAAUGUUGAGCCCAAUGUUAAGUUAUUGUCGCUGAUUGCUUUGGAGAAGUGCGCACAAACCAGCGAAAACAAAACUGCUAUAAAGAAAAUAUUGACAGAGAUUGAUAAAAACCCGUUGCCAGAUUUGGAAAAACAUUACAAUUCAAAAGACUAUUUGCAGAGACAAAUAGGUUUUUGUGCACGUUGGUGUUUGGAUAAUUAUUUCAUAGUGGAUCAACGCUCGUAUGCAUAUGAGUCAACUGACGUUACUUACAUCAAUGCAAUGCUUAAUACAAAUGAUGUCAGUGAAUAUUUAAAAAUUUCUCCGGAUGGUCUCGAGGCACGCUGCGAUGCGUACACUUUUGAAAGUGUUCGUUGUACAUUCCAGAUAACAAGUGGUUGUUGGUAUUACGAAGUACUAUUGGUAACCCCUGGUGUCAUGCAAAUCGGUUGGGCAACUAAAGAAUCCAGCUUCUUAAGUGACGAUGGCUACGGAAUUGGUGACGAUAAAUUUUCAAUUGGUUUUGAUGGUUGCCGCAAAUUGAUUUGGCAUAAUGCUAAAUCAAUUGGUCAUAAUUUAUCUACCUGGAAAAGUGGAUCAGUUUUAGGUUGCUUAAUUGAUAUAGAAAAGCAUGAAGUUAUUUUCAGUUUAGAUGGCCGUCAAACUGAACCGUACAAACAAGUAUUUCAUACUCCAAAUCAAGGGUUUUUCGCUGCAGGCAGUUUUAUGUCUUUUCAGCAGUGUCGUUUUAACUUCGGUUUAGAACCAUUUCGUUAUCCACCGAAUAGACAUUUCCGCAAUUUUAACGAUUUUGGAAACCUCACCAAGGAUGACAAGAUUGUGUUGCCAAGGCAUAUUUAUUUAGAUUUAAUGCGUAAAGUAAGUGUGGAGGAAGAUUCAUGUACCAUUUGUUUUGACCAAAAGGCUAUUGUAAGACUGGAGCCGUGCCGGCAUAGGGGCUUUUGUGAAACGUGCGCGGAUCAAAUAUCUCAUUGUCCAAUGUGUCGCUCUGAUAUUAAAGGAAAGCUUGUAGAACAAACCGACAUUGUCAAAUCGGAGGAGCUCACAGAAGCUAUAACUACGAGCACAAACGAAGCAGCCUGUAACAACAAUCCUGGUGAUCCUAUAGAAAAAAAAUACCCUGCGUGACGCAAUUAAUUAAAAGCGACAACAUCUAAAACAUCAAAAAACUGAGCAUAAAUACAAAUCUUAAUUAUCUUGACGCGAUGUUUCCGUCUACAUUGGAAUAUGCCAUAAAAACAUGAAUGACUCUGCAUUUUAAAAGGAAUAUUCAAAAUUAUAUUCCAUACUUCACAAUUCAUAAAUUAUAUUUUAUAUUAACAA
Teleopsis dalmanni is the source of this 2235-nucleotide RNA transcript. It is a transcript of the gene named RING finger and SPRY domain-containing protein 1-like, with no coding region annotated. NCBI's taxonomy places the organism in Eukaryota, Metazoa, Arthropoda, Insecta, Diptera, Diopsidae. The record is from RefSeq and is a predicted model, not a curated record. The transcript is spliced from 11 exons.